This 253-nucleotide ribosomal RNA is filed under the name uncultured bacterium. RNAcentral's name for it is "partial 16S ribosomal RNA". It matches the Rfam family "Bacterial small subunit ribosomal RNA", at positions 524 to 776 of the family's 1533-position model. The record is from RNAcentral.
UACAGAGGUCUCAACCGUUGUUCGGAUUCAUUGGGCGUAAAGGGUGCGUAGGCGGUCGUGCAAGUCGGAUGUGAAAUCUCAGGGCUCAACCCUGAAACUGCAUUCGAUACUGCGUGGCUAGAGUGCUGGAGAGGAGACUGGAAUUUACGGUGUAGCGGUGAAAUGCGUAGAUAUCGGAAGGAACAUCAGUGGCGAAAGCGACUUCCUGGACCAAUACUGACGCUCAUGUGCGAAAGCGUGGGGAGCAAACAGG